GUGAUUCGCAUAAUUGCCGUUAUGUAAGUGGUGGCAUUGUGAUAGACGUCAAAUAAUUACAUAACUUGUUGUUUAUAUUCGAAGACUUCGGCCAGCAAACACCGAGGAAGGGGUGAAAUGUUCGCAGCGGACUAAAUUUAAUAAAGGGCAUUCGUUUUCGAAAACGAUUGGGGCCAAAGAUGUGUUUCAGUCUCGAUGUGGUGUAUCAGGAUACGCGCCUGGCAAUCGAGCCCCCUUUUCGUUCUGAUUAGUUUCGUAAUUGCUGCAGGGCUCGUCGUCCAAUUAAAAACCCUCUACGACAAUCACCAGAGACAUUUGAGGGUGAUGGAUUAUGAGAAGAGUGUAGCGGAGCUGAGCGAUACCAUGGAUCACGUCGAGAAGGUGACCACGAAAAUUGGCACCAUGAAAAAGAAAAUCGAGGGAUUCCUUGCGACCCAUAAGAGGUCGGGUAGCUGACAAUUAAUGUUGGCUAGAAUAUUCGGCAUUAAUAGAAGCAACAAAUUGAGCGGUCGUAUGCUUUAAUUUUCGUUAUUGUUUUCUUUUACACACAGACACAGAAUGUUUUCUUUAAUUAUUUUAUUUAUGCACCUUGAAGAAAAAAAAAAGACAUGGGGAAUACUAAGAACUAACUAACUAAUGCACAAAGAUCUUUGUAGAUAGGAAACAUUUAUCUUUCUCUAGUACUUAGUAAUUAAAAUAUAAAAAAAUAUAUAAAAAUGCCAAUAAGACAAAUUGUGAUUAAACUUUGAGGAUGAAUCAUCCUUUCUAAAGAUGAAAUUAAUAUUUAAUAUACUAAAAGGAAAAAUAUGUCAAUAAUAAAAUUAUUAAUUAAGUAUUAACAUAACAUUUAUACUAAAUGUAGAACAUUUUGUGCUCAAUGAUGAGGGAGGAAACUGAUGAAGCUUGUUUUUGUCUGAUUACCUUAUUUGUUAUGUUUAAAGGUUUUAUUAUAUUUUAUGUUGGUUGUUUAUGGAGAAGUGUGGAAUUAAAUAUCGAGUGAUAAACAUU
This is a long non-coding RNA of Nicrophorus vespilloides, 1008 nucleotides long. RefSeq lists it as uncharacterized. The record is from RefSeq and is a predicted model, not a curated record. The transcript is spliced from 2 exons. NCBI's taxonomy places the organism in Eukaryota, Metazoa, Arthropoda, Insecta, Coleoptera, Silphidae.